CCUACGGGAGGCAGCAGUGAGGAAUAUUGGUCAAUGGGCGCGAGCCUGAACCAGCCAAGUCGCGUGAGGGAAGACGGUCCUAUGGAUUGUAAACCUCUUUUGUCGGGGAGCAAAAGACACCACGCGUGGCCUUCCGCGUUUACCCUACGAACAAGCAUCGGCAAACUCCGUGCCAGCAGCCGCGGUAAUACGGGGGAUGCGAGCGUUAUCCGGAUUUAUUGGGUUUAAGGGGUUCGCAGGCGGAAGAUCAAGUCAGCGGUAAAAUUGAGAGGCUCAACCUCUGCGAGCCGUUGAAAAUGGUAGGCUUGAGUGAGUGAGAAGUAUGAGGAAUGCGUGGUGUAGCGGUGAAAUGCAUAGAUAUCACGCAGAACUCCGAUUGCGAAGGCAGCAUACCGGAGCUCAACUGACGCUCAUGCACGAAAGUGUGGGUAUCGAACAGGAUUAGAUACCCUUGUAGUC
This 459-nucleotide ribosomal RNA is filed under the name uncultured bacterium. RNAcentral describes it as "partial 16S ribosomal RNA". It matches the Rfam family "Bacterial small subunit ribosomal RNA", at positions 338 to 795 of the family's 1533-position model. The record is from RNAcentral.